GAGCUUGAAGGUUUAUCGUAUGAUUUUAAUCUACAUGGGAACAGAAAGGAGCUCCAAAUAUUGAAUCACAGAAGAAACAGCUAUAGAAGCUUGAGCGAAUGGAAGCUCAGAAAGAAGAUGAUCAGAGGGAAGCCGAACUGGAUGCUCAUUAUUAAUGAGUUCAUCAAUGUAUAUUGAAAGGGAUGUGUCGUACUGUGUUGACUAAGCUAUGCUCCCUACCAAUUAAUUGCAAGUAUUUGGUGAUGAGUCGCUUACCAUGAUCUACAUCCUCUCUUUUUCAUGGUUGCUUCUUCUGGAAUAGAGAUUUUAAUUCAUGCCUAUGCCCUGUUUUUCUUAGUUGAAGAGGAAAAAUUGGUGAUCAAGUUUGUACCCCUGUGAUUGCAAAUUAUUUCUUAUGGUUUGAGGACCAUGUUUACAAAAUUUUCAAAGGACUGUGUAUAGUUACGAUUAUUCUAAAUCUAGUUUAUGUGUUCUGUAG
Fragaria vesca subsp. vesca is the source of this 478-nucleotide RNA transcript. RefSeq lists it as uncharacterized. The record is from RefSeq and is a predicted model, not a curated record. The transcript is spliced from 5 exons. Lineage: Eukaryota; Viridiplantae; Streptophyta; Magnoliopsida; Rosales; Rosaceae.